UAACCAUAAGGUAUCCACUGGUUGUCGGGAGAGAAGCAGGAAGUAGAUCUCUAAGUGGAUUAAAAUAUGUGUUUUCUAUUUAUUUUAACGUCUGUGUCAAACAGAAUUUCUGGGGAGUUUGCGUCCUCGGAGCCGCAGAGGGCUGAGGAUAUAUGAUCUCAUUCGUGGCAGUGGAGGCACCUCUAGGCCCACUCCAACUCAACCCACUGGACAAAAGAACAGUCAGUUCGACUUGGCAGAUGCUCUUCAUCCAGGCCCAGAUAACGGUCCAUUUAACUUUGCGGAUGCUGUUGCUUCAGCUGAGAAACUGAGCAAAGGAGAUUUCCAGGAAAAGGUGAUCCAAAAACUGGACACAAUUGAUGUAGAAGUGAAGCAGCUCUUCCACCUGCUGCCGCAGAUCAUGGCUCAAAGCUCAUCAAAGUGAGAUCUUUGGGGACACGGAGACGAGAAGACGACGGGUCGGAUGACGACGUCUUACUGAACAUGUCUGAUCUUAUUAAUCCCUCUUCCUGAUCAGAUUUUAAACAUAUAUUAAACACUGUCAUUUAAACGCUUAUCAUGAGUGUGUUCUUGCAUGUAGAUGUUUGACAGAGUACAUGUCUCUGUAAGAUACAAGGAUGAUGAAAGCAUGAAAAGCAGGUCAAGACAAAACACUGAAGACUCAAUAAAGAUGAUCUUCAUGAA
Molecule: long non-coding RNA, 684 nt
Organism: Acanthochromis polyacanthus (spiny chromis)
Lineage: Eukaryota; Metazoa; Chordata; Actinopteri; Pomacentridae
Exons: 8
Source: RefSeq, a predicted model, not a curated record